UUUUAUACUACAUUAAGUGUUAUUACAGUAGAGAUUUUACCUUUCUACAAUCCUCCUUACAUUCCAAAAUGGUUUUUAUUUGGUAAAUUACUUGUCUAAUUAUCAGUAGAGAUCUUACUUUCUCCUAAUUGGUCACCGGAGAGAGAACAGAUGUCUGACGCAUCAGACUCACCUUCGACACCAACACAUAUGACUAGUCACAACUGACUGGACCAGGCCANGGCUGCUCUAUGAUCAGGGAUGUGCGGCUCUGGUUUUUAGGUUCUCUCUAUCCUACCAAGAGAGAAGGUUCCUAACAAGUCCCAAGUAUUUUUAUUUGAUUUAAUCAACUAUCCUAUUAUUUUUAGUUCCCUGAUUCCCAAAGUUAUACAUCCCCUCUCACAGAACCUGAGGCUACACUUAACCCAUUUUUCCCAUCAAAUCAGUAUCACCCCCAAUUUAUUCCAGCAACCAGAUUCAUCAAAUUCCUUCAGAGCACAUCACAAUCAAUAUAUAAACAGGAAUCAUUCCCAGGAUCAUCAUUUCAGUCAAAUUCAGCGCAUACUAAGUUAAACACUUAAGGACAGUAACAACACAUGCUCCCAAUAUAUCACAUAUUUAAUUCAAUAUGCAUAAUCACUCAAAACAGAUUCAUCAGUUCUUACCAAACGGGAUGUGUAGAACCAAAAUACAGUUUAAAUUCACAUAGCAAUUCAGAUUUCUCAAACAGUCACUUCACAACAAAUAAAAUAAAAGUAUAAGUAGCUCCCCUUACCUGGGUUUCUCAAAAUAAGCUAAUUGAAGAUGCCCUAAUAGCACCCUCCACACAGAACAAAGCUUGACAGAACCGGGAAGGAUGGGGAAAAUGAUCGGUUCAAAAUGGAGCCCUUGGUGAGGUGAACGCUAGAGCACCUUUAAAUCAAAAUUUAAUGGGUUCAAUGAGCUGAAAUUUUAGACAGAAGGCAGAGCUAAGUUUAGGGAAACUAGAAGACCUAAGUUUUAGAGAGAGAAUGGAAAAGCAACAAAUGAAGAAUCUGACUUUUGAAAAAGAAUCCCUUCUAAGGUCAUGUGCCCUUAAUCUUUAUGGGUUGGACUGCCUAAACAUAAAGCCCAUCAACCCUUGGCUUAUUUUCAAGUCCUUAUACAUAUCAGUAGAAAAACCCUGUUUUAUCCCCAUCUACAGCACCCUUAGAGUGGAAAUUGACAUUAUUGAAAAUUGAAAGCAUAUGAUCACAUUCUUAAUUCAUGGAGAAUGAUAUUUUCGAGUCCACUAAAAUCACAUAACUAGUUUAAGUUCAUUAUCUAACCUUUCUUUUAUACUUACAAAAGCAGAUAUCUUCAUUCUUUUUCCAACAUCUUCAAGAAAAUACCAAUCAAAAGAAUUAACAAACAAAUAGAGCAUAGUUCAUUAAUUGUCAAAUAUUUACUGUUAUUUGAAUUUUGUAAUUUCAUGAUCACGACCAUGGUCAUAUAUUUUUGGAAUUUAGAAAAUCAAUCAUGAUAUGUAUGAAAAGAUUAAAAUAAAUAAUACCUAUUUUCAGUCAGAG
Molecule: long non-coding RNA, 1526 nt
Filed under: Vigna radiata
Lineage: Eukaryota; Viridiplantae; Streptophyta; Magnoliopsida; Fabales; Fabaceae
Description: long non-coding RNA (VRAD_LNC018195)
Source: RNAcentral